RNAcentral lists this ribosomal RNA (1346 nucleotides) under uncultured bacterium. Its description in RNAcentral is "partial 16S ribosomal RNA". It matches the Rfam family "Bacterial small subunit ribosomal RNA", at positions 28 to 1381 of the family's 1533-position model. The record is from RNAcentral.
GACGAACGUUGGCGGCGUGCUUAACACAUGCAAGUCGAACGGAAAGGCCCUGCUUUUGUGGGGUGCCCGAGUGGCGAACGGGUGAGUAACACGUGAGUAACCUGCCCUUGACUUUGGGACAACUUCAGGAAACUGGGGCUAAUACCGGAUAGGAGCUCCUGCUGCAUGGUGGGGGUUGGAAAGUUUCGGCGGUUGGGGAUGGACUCGCGGCUUAUCAGCUUGUUGGUGGGGUAGUGGCUUACCAAGGCUUUGACGGGUAGCCGGCCUGAGAGGGUGACCGGCCACAUUGGGACUGAGAUACGGCCCAGACUCCUACGGGAGGCAGCAGUGGGGAAUAUUGCACAAUGGGCGGAAGCCUGAUGCAGCAACGCCGCGUGCGGGAUGACGGCCUUCGGGUUGUAAACCGCUUUCGCCUGUGACGAAGCGUGAGUGACGGUAAUGGGUAAAGAAGCACCGGCUAACUACGUGCCAGCAGCCGCGGUGAUACGUAGGGUGCGAGCGUUGUCCGGAUUUAUUGGGCGUAAAGGGCUCGUAGGUGGUUGAUCGCGUCGGAAGUGUAAUCUUGGGGCUUAACCCUGAGCGUGCUUUCGAUACGGGUUGACUUGAGGAAGGUAGGGGAGAAUGGAAUUCCUGGUGGAGCGGUGGAAUGCGCAGAUAUCAGGAGGAACACCAGUGGCGAAGGCGGUUCUCUGGGCCUUUCCUGACGCUGAGGAGCGAAAGCGUGGGGAGCGAACAGGCUUAGAUACCCUGGUAGUCCACGCUGUAAACGGUGGGUACUAGGUGUGGGGUCCAUUCCACGGGUUCCGUGCCGUAGCUAACGCUUUAAGUACCCCGCCUGGGGAGUACGGCCGCAAGGCUAAAACUCAAAGGAAUUGACGGGGCCCCGCACAAGCGGCGGAGCAUGCGGAUUAAUUCGAUGCAACGCGUAGAACCUUACCUGGGUUUGACAUGGAUCGGGAGUGCUCAGAGAUGGGUGUGCCUCUUUUGGGGUCGGUUCACAGGUGGUGCAUGGCUGUCGUCAGCUCGUGUCGUGAGAUGUUGGGUUAAGUCCCGCAACGAGCGCAACCCUUGUUCACUGUUGCCAGCACGUUAUGGUGGGGACUCAGUGGAGACCGCCGGGGUCAACUCGGAGGAAGGUGGGGAUGACGUCAAGUCAUCAUGCCCCUUAUGUCCAGGGCUUCACGCAUGCUACAAUGGCUGGUACAGAGAGUGGCGAGCCUGUGAGGGUGAGCGAAUCUCGGAAAGCCGGUCUCAGUUCGGAUUGGGGUCUGCAACUCGACCUCAUGAAGUCGGAGUCGCUAGUAAUCGCAGAUCAGCAACGCUGCGGUGAAUACGUUCCCGGGGCU